UGUGGCAUGGAUUCCAAACAAAAAUGGUGAAGGAGCAAAGGUUUACCUUUCCAUGGUGCUGCUAGGUUUAAAUGUGCCUCCACGCACAAGGUGGUCAUUGUUUUUAACAUGGGAAUGUGUUUAGAUUCACAGGAACUGUAAUAACUGCUAACAACUCUAUGAAGAAAGAAGAGACCUGGAGAAUGAGGUGCCUGUCCUGUGGGGAAAACCAACAGCGUCAUCUCCUUCAGGAAAAAUUGCAUGCUGUCUUACGUACCUUUGCAUAUGGGUAGAGAAAAUAAACUUGAGCAAGCUAACAAAUAAAAUUUCAA
This is a non-coding RNA of Microcebus murinus (gray mouse lemur), 311 nucleotides long. The record is from RefSeq and is a predicted model, not a curated record. NCBI's taxonomy places the organism in Eukaryota, Metazoa, Chordata, Mammalia, Primates, Cheirogaleidae.